CUUGCCUACGGGGCGCAGCAGUGAGGAAUAUUGGUCAAUGGACGAGAGUCUGAACCAGCCAAGUAGCGUGAAGGAUGACUGCCCUAUGGGUUGUAAACUUCUUUUAUAUGGGAAUAAAACGUUCCACGUGUGGGAUUUUGUAUGUACCAUAUGAAUAAGGAUCGGCUAACUCCGUGCCAGCAGCCGCGGUAAUACGGAGGAUCCGAGCGUUAUCCGGAUUUAUUGGGUUUAAAGGGAGCGUAGGUGGAUUGUUAAGUUAGUUGUGAAAGUUUGCGGCUCAACCGUAAAAUUGCAGUUGAAACUGG
Molecule: ribosomal RNA, 305 nt
Filed under: uncultured bacterium
Lineage: Bacteria
Description: bacterial SSU rRNA
Rfam family: Bacterial small subunit ribosomal RNA
Source: RNAcentral